Molecule: long non-coding RNA, 3407 nt
Filed under: Vitis vinifera (wine grape)
Lineage: Eukaryota; Viridiplantae; Streptophyta; Magnoliopsida; Vitales; Vitaceae
Description: long non-coding RNA (VVIN_LNC007289)
Source: RNAcentral
CCACAUCCAAAGAAAGCUAGCUCCAUAAUACACCUUCAUCCUUUCAAACCAUGGCUACGCAAUUUAUUACUGUUUCUCUGGUUUUAACAUUGUCGCUGUUGAGCAUGGAAGUGAGCCUGGCAGGUCGCCACCUUCUGGACACACCAGCCGCUCCAUCACCACCAACACUACCUCAAAUUCCAUCUCUUCCUAAGCCCACAUUGCCUCCGUUGCCAGCAACGCCUGCGCUGCCCACUACCCCAUUGCCAACACAACCAAAUGUCCCAACUGUGCCAAAGCCCACAUUGCCGCCGCUGCCAUCUCUGACAAACCCAACAUUGCCAACCAUCCCCACAAUUCCAAACCUGGCGCUUCCUCCGCUGCCCUCCUUCCCCACCUCCAUCCCCACCUCAAUCUCUUCAAUAUUCCCCAACAUUCCAACAUUUAAUUUCCUUACACCACCUCCAUCCACCACCACCACCAGCCCUUGAGUGGGCCCUGCCACACCUUAGCCGAGGGAGACUAGCUGGGUUCGUAUGUAUUUGGAAGGCUUCAGGAAAUCCUAAUACACUUUAUUGCAUGAGAGGUUGAUUUAUAUGUCAGGUCUUGUCCUGUAACAAUUCAUGGUCCCUGUGAGGGCUCUUUAUGUGUCUUUCUCUAUGUUGUUUUUCUUUUUCUCUCUAUACGAGUACGAUUCCUUGUGUUUCUUUUUUGUUUUACAUGAAUACGAUCCCUCUCUUUUUAUUUUUUAAUUUGAUUAUUGAACACUUUCUCAAGCAGUAAACAUGACACGAUAUUCAUUUUUACGUCAAAAUCUUUGAAGAGGGAAGAAGACAAUAUGAGAUGCAGACAGAGAAGAAAGGCAGUCCCAACUUGGUCUGCUGACCGUCUUAAGUGUGUACUAAUCUAAUAAUCCUGAUAAAACUUGAUUAAACCUUAAUUUCAUUUUCAUUUUCCUCGUCUACAUCAUCUUUAACUCCUUAAUCAUCAGCUUCGUCUUCCGUAUAAGUCUCAACAAAUACUCUUUUAGGUGGUGUUUGUUUUUUUACUUAAUUCUAAAUAGAACCUUAAUGCUUGAUAGUGUUAAAUAUUAGGUUGUUUGUUUUUAUAGUAUUUUAUUUCUAUUAAGUAUUAAAAAGUAAAAAAAAUUAAUAUGUUAUUUUUUCUAUUUAGAAAAAACUAUAUAUUUUGGUUUUUUCUAUUUAGUAAAAAGUUUAUAAUAAGUCAUGAAAAAGUAGAAAAAUAAAUAAUUUAAAUUCUAAAACUAAAUUACUUUCAAUAAAAAGCCAAAAAAACAAACAUCACCUUAGUGUCACAUUAAGGCACGUAAAUCAAUUUUUCGAUGCCUCAUCUCUAAAUAUUAUCAAAUGAUAUGUUGGGAUUUGUAAAGCAAUUACAAUAAAAUAAUUAUUAAAAAGUCCAUCCAGAGUUAUCAAUCAAUAACAACAACUUGUAUAGGUAAGAAUCUCAUGUAUGAUGAUAAUGGUAUCUUUUGUACAAUUUUUUUUCAUGGGUUAAUAAUUAUAAUUUAAUGUAAUUUACUUAAAAUUAAUAAAAAAAAAAGUUUAUAACAACCGAUCCAUUUUUAUAUUUAAGAAUGAAUUAUUCAAACAAGGUUAAAAUUUAAAUAUAAAUAAAUAAUUUACCUAAACAAGCAAAGUGAUUGAGAUGUACAUCUUAUAAUUAUUUUUUAUGAAGGUUGAAGAGGUUGAAGAUCUAUUUGGUGACAAAAAACACACUCUUUUAAGGAAGGAUGUUUUUUUUAUUUCAUGCCAAUACAAAGUUGCAAGUCAAAUAUUAUGUUAAAACUAUUUUUUUAAAAAAAUUAAUAAAAAGUUUAUCUUGUUUGUAAAAAUAAUGGUUCUAAUUCAUUUUAUAUUAUUUCAUGUAAAUAUAAAAUUGUGAAUAGGAGAUCGUGUUAAAAGAAAUUUAGAAGUUAUUUAGUAAAAAGUUUAUUUUGUUUAUAAAAAUAAUAAUUCUAAUUCAUUUUUUUUCAAAAUGAUUAUAAUAUUAAUGCAUUAAUGUCAAUUAUAUUUUUUUGAAUCUUAAUCAUAUUAUUUAUAUCUGGAUCGUAUAGUUUGUACUCACAUCCUAUUAUUCAUACUUUAAUUUUAACUCAUAAUAUUCGUAUUUGAGUCAUAUUAUUUAUACUUUGGUUAUAUGAUUCGUUUCUUCAUCAUAUUUUUUGUAUUUUUGUCACAUUGUUUGUACGAUGAUAAUAUGUUUAGUAUCUUUGUAACAUUUUUCAUACUGUGAUGAUAUUAUUUGCAUUGUAAUUCUUUUAAAUCCAUGAUUUUAGGUUGUAGUAAAGAAAUUUACAUCACAUACUUCUUUGUACAUCUCGUGUAUAUAUACUGAUUAGUCGUGUAAUGAAGGGCAGGUGGUACAUCAAAACCUCAAGCGGCUUUGGAAUGAUCUAUGAGUCCUACCAUGAAGCAAUCCAUGUGUCAAAAUUUUAGAAGAUAAUAACCCAACAAGCUGAAAAGUUCUAGCAGUAUACAUAAGUGAGCUCAGGUUUGCGUCAGUUUGCCAACCCUAAUUGGUUGGUUUUAUUUUGAAUUUGCUGUAAGACAAGUAGGGGAGGUGAACUAACCACCACUCCUCCAAAUUUCUCUCAACCACAUCUCAUCAAUCUCUUAUAUUGCUUCUUCAAAUUCUUCUCUAUAAAUACCCGUCCAUACUUUGUUGUUGUUUAUCCAGAACAGAGUUGAAAUUCGUCCACAUCCAAGGGAAGCUAGCUCCAUACACUUUUAUCUUUUUAAACCAUGGCUAGGCAUUGUCUUAUUGUAUCUCUGGUUUUAGCAUUGUCACUGUUGAGCAUGGAUGUGAGCCUGGCAGGCCGCCACCUUUUGGACAUACCAACAGCUCCACCACCAGCACUAACACUGCCUCAAACUCCAUCUCUUCCUAAGCCCACAUUGCCUCCCUUGCCAGCAAUGCCUGCGCUGCCCACCACCCCAUUGCCGACACUGCCAAGUGCCCCAACUCUGCCAAAGCUCACAUUGCCGCCGUUGCCAUCUUUGCCAAACCCAACAUUGCCAACCAUGCCCACAAUUUCAAAGAUGACGCUUCCUCCGCUGCCCGCCAUCCCCACCUCAAUUCCUUCAUUCCCCACCAUUCCAACAACAAUCCCAACAGUUCCUUUCCUUUCACCACCUCCAUCCACCACCAGCCCUUAGAGUGGCCCCGCCACACCUUAGUCCUGGGAGACAAGCUGGAUUCACAUGUGUUUGGAAGGCUUCAGGAAUUCCCAUAUAAUUACAUUCUAUUGUCUGAGACGUUUGACUCAUUUGUGAGGUCUUGUAACAAUUCAUGGUCUAUGUGGGGGUUUUCUGCGUUUCUUUUUAUUCUAUAUGAAUACGAUUCCUUGUAUUUCUUUUUGUUCUAUAUGAAUACGAUUCCUUGUAUUUCUUUUUAUUCUAUAUGAA